Long non-coding RNA from Thalassophryne amazonica, 137 nucleotides. RefSeq lists it as uncharacterized. The record is from RefSeq and is a predicted model, not a curated record. The transcript is spliced from 3 exons. NCBI's taxonomy places the organism in Eukaryota, Metazoa, Chordata, Actinopteri, Batrachoidiformes, Batrachoididae.
CUUAUGACUGGGGCUUUCCCACGGGGCCUGGCUGGGCCCAGUCCAAAAGAGCGAUGUGGGCCCGCCCUCCUGUGGGUUCACCACCUGCAGAGGGGGCCAUGGGGGUCAGGUGCAGAGAGGACUGGGUGGCGGUCGGG